GUCACAUUUAAAUAAAAAAUGAACUUCAUCCUCAACCUCACCUGAGGUGCACCUGAGACAAAUUCGGUUUUGUCGAAGAGUACCCUGGUAUCUACCAGAUUCAAUUUGCAAUUUGUGAGCAGAUAUUCUUAAUCUAGUAAUACAUUUCCUUUGCUCAAAAUGUCGAAUUAUUGACAAAUAAUUUUCAAAACCAUAGUUGCACUUGAAUGUUACAUAAGUUCGUAGUUUACCAUCUUU
Molecule: long non-coding RNA, 237 nt
Filed under: Mytilus galloprovincialis (Mediterranean mussel)
Lineage: Eukaryota; Metazoa; Mollusca; Bivalvia; Mytilida; Mytilidae
Source: RNAcentral